UAAAUAUGACGCUGGCGGCAUGCUUACCACAUGCAUGUCAACGGCAGCACAGGUAGCUUGCUACCUGGGUGGCGAGUGGCGGACGGUAGUAACGCGUAUGAAUUUACCUUUUUGUGGGGGAUAACCCGGGGAAACCCGGGCUAAUACCGCAUACGCCCUACGGGGAAAGCGGGGGACCUUCGGGCCUCGCGCAGAGAGAUGAGCCUGCGUCCUAUCAGGUAGUUGGUGAGGUAAUGGCUCACCAAGCCGACGACGGGUAGCUCGUCUGAGAGGACGACCAGCCACACUGGGACUGAGACACGGCCCAGACUCCUACGGGAGGCAGCAGUGGGGAAUAUUGCGCAAUGGGGGAAACCCUGACGCAGCAACGCCGCGUGAAGGAUGAAGGUCUUCGGAUUGUAAACUUCUUUAGUCGGGGACGAAAGAAAUGACGGUACCCGAAGAAUAAGCCACGGCUAACUACGUGCCAGCAGCCGCGGUAAUACGUAGGUCGCGAGCGUUGUCCGGAAUUACUGGGUGUAAAGGGCGUGUAGGCGGGGGUACAAGUCAGAUGUGAAAUUCUGGGGCUCAACUCCAGAGCUGCAUCUGAAACUAUACUUCUUGAGUGCUGGAGAGGAAAGCGGAAUUCCUAGUGUAGCGGUGAAAUGCGUAGAUCUUAGGAGGAACA
This 667-nucleotide ribosomal RNA is filed under the name uncultured bacterium. RNAcentral's name for it is "bacterial SSU rRNA". It matches the Rfam family "Bacterial small subunit ribosomal RNA", at positions 24 to 708 of the family's 1533-position model. The record is from RNAcentral.